UGCGGGGUGGAGCAGCCUGGUAGCUCGUCGGGCUCAUAACCCGGAGGUCGUAGGUUCAAAUCCUACCCCCGCUCCCA
This 77-nucleotide transfer RNA is filed under the name Armatimonadota bacterium. RNAcentral's name for it is "Armatimonadetes bacterium (bioreactor metagenome) tRNA-Met". It matches the Rfam family "tRNA". From Rfam's summary of the family: Transfer RNA (tRNA) molecules are approximately 80 nucleotides in length. Their secondary structure includes four short double-helical elements and three loops (D, anti-codon, and T loops). Lineage: Bacteria; Bacillati; Armatimonadota. The record is from RNAcentral. RNAcentral also lists the same sequence under 3 other names.